AUAGUUUGAAGUUUCAACUUAAUAGUUGGUGGGUUCAGAUGAAACAGCAAACUAUUUGCCAAGAACCCAGAAGUAAGUUAAGAAAUUGUGGAAUGUAAAGAGAGAAUGAGAUGGCUCUUAAGCCCAUGGUUUGUGCCAGUUUGUGUACAGAAGGGGAAACCAUGGUUUGACAUUAUUUCUGAAUCAUACCAGACUGUAGCACAUGAAGGCUAUAGCGAAUGAGUGACAGCAGGGCAGUCUCUUUUCUUUUUUUGCUUAUGUUAUUCUAUUGUUCUGUAAAGGGCAACUCAUUUUUUAACUUCUGACUUUUAUUGGUAACUUUAGGAGGCAAUCCUAUGGCAAAAUCCAUUGGUAUGAGUAGCUUAGAAAGCGGUGGACCUCUGACUCAGUUGGCUGAUUCCUGAUUCAGUUGGGCUCAGCCAGCAUGAAGCCAUCAGUCCUGGCACCGUGUAAGUGGCUGAGCUGAGGCCAAUGUAAGUUUCAGGAAGGGGUGUUCUGCAGGCAUAGUACGGGCAUGACCAGAGAGGAGGGCCAUAGGCUGGAUCCCAAGACUAUUCAUCUAGGUCAUGUGACCUGGCAACCCAGCAUAGAACACUAUUUUCAAGGCUUGUUUUCCCUCCACCAGGCAUGAGCAGAGCGUGUGUCUUGUCUGUGGAGGUGUCUGUCUGUCUGUCUGGUUGAAAAUCCUUUUGGUUGCCUGGGCAAGAUAAAGUGGAAAACAAAUUUAAUUUAAAAAAGUGUAGAAAUAAAGUUCAAAGAGAAUUACAGUAUUGGAAUGUCCUCCCAUGAUAAUUUGCUUUGGAAUUUACACUUAAAUAACACAUGAACACAUUUUUUUACAAGGAGGCAGCAUAGAAGCAAAUCAUAACUGACAUAUGCUAUAUAUUCCAAGGAGUCCCCAAAGAAAAUUGAAGAGCAGAAUGCCAUCAUACAUUACCCAGUAUGUGUCAAAACACUGGUGUUUUCAGAGUUUGCUUUCAUGCACUGCUGCCUUUAUUUUGUAUUAUCUUCUGAUUCAACAUAUCCACUGAGCAUUUCAACUAAGAACAUGGCAGCUUUGUAUGGCAGUACAGAAAUCUGAACAACACCUUGCUUCAAAAAUUAGCUGGUAUUAGAUAAAAAGAUAUGUUCUCUACUGAACUUGAAAUGAGAUUGAAAACUACUAAGGCAAAAGGAAUAGACUUUUUUUUUAAGGACCUCACAAUGCUAGGUGUUAGAUUAUAAAUUAUUUUGAACAGUUUCUAACAAUCGCCUUGUUAUAAAUCUUAGUACCCUGCAUAUUGCAAAAGAAAGCAUUUUUUUUAAAAAAAUGUAAUGCUCAUUUGUGGGCAGAGUGACAUCAUUUUAUUUAUCAUAAAAUAAUGAAUCUUGUCUGCAGUUUAUGAGUGGGGAACAAAGACUUACAUUUUAAAAUGCUAGGUCCAAUCUUACUGCUAAGCACACCAUGAUAUACUGCUUAUGGCAGUACCUUGCAAAGGUGGCAUUGGAUGAUACUGUGGGUGCCAGAAUACCUUAUCAGAGCUUAAAGCUGUUUGAUAUUUUACUGGCAAUAUAAUAUUUUUGCCUAGAGUGAGGUGAAGUUGAGAGAACUUUCUUAAUCCAGUUGGUGUCCAUUUUGCAUGUCUUCACUGCUAAGUCUUGUUUUUGUGGCCAUUAGUCCUAACAUUCCCUUGGCUUCAUAUUUUGUUGCUGAGAUAAGAUGCCUGAGUCAUUCCUUCAGGAUCAUAAUUGGAUUAAGAGAACACAUUGUUUCCAGGAUUCUCCACAGGCAAUAUCGAAUGAAACAUGGAGAAAGGAAGAAGUCACACAGGUUGGGUUCAGAUGCACAAAAGUUCUCUAUGCAAAACAAUCCUAGUGGACAUAGAACCAGUUUGAUGUCAGCCCAAUUUUCAGUAGAUAGAUUGGACUACAAAGGUGUUUAUAAGCAAAUCCCAUGUACACCAUGUUGACUUCCAUGGCAGAAGAAAGGUAGGAUAUUAAUAUACUAAAUAAAUAAGUUAUUUUGAAAAAGACACCUGACUAGCAGGACCUAGACUGCCAAACUGAUAUUUCCACUGAAUGCCCUCAACUUUUCUUAACAGUCCAUUGUUUCAAAGGAAUGUCUUAUCUGAGGGAGGUCAAACAGGUAGCUUGUAGCACUGUUGGAGCAAGUAACACUUCAUUAAUUUAGAGUCAUUGCACAUAAAUCACAAGGAAUUCUAUUAUGCUGAUCUAAAGUACUUCAUUUUGGAUUUUAAGUUGGCUUGCCAUUCUCCCCCAUCCCUCACUCUGUGCUUUAAAAUAUGUCACUUGUUUCUGGUUCACUAAUGUUUCAAAAUGAGCAGAGACUUUGUGAACUGAGAUUUACAGUGCCUCAGUGUUCUACGUAAAAUUAUUAUUUUGUGUAAAGUAAGUGUUCUGAAGCAAAUGAAUGAAGAAGAAAAAAAAUACACUGAGAAAUCUUAUGUUCCACACCUCAAGUCUUAGAUAAUAAUUAAGUGCAUCUGUGUCACCCUCCCUUUAUUGUCCUCUAC
Molecule: long non-coding RNA, 2513 nt
Organism: Podarcis raffonei (Aeolian wall lizard)
Lineage: Eukaryota; Metazoa; Chordata; Lepidosauria; Squamata; Lacertidae
Exons: 3
Source: RefSeq, a predicted model, not a curated record